GGGGGGGGGGGGGGGGGGGCCGGACACGGGCAGGUCGAGCGGGGGGACGGGAAGGGCUUGCUCUUGCGGGUGGCGAGUGGCGGGCGGGUGAGGAAUACAGCGGAAUGUACUUUGUCGUGGGGGAUAACGUAGGGAAACUUACGCUAAUACCGCAUACGACCUACGGGUUAAAGCAGCGGCUCUUCGGACCUUGCGCGAUUGAAUGAGCCGAUGUCGGAUUAGCUAGUUUGCGGGGUAAAGGCCCACCAAGGCGACGCUCCGUAGCUGGUCUGAGAGGAUGAUCAGCCACACUGGAACUGAGACACGGUCCAGACUCCUACGGGAGGCAGCAGUGGGGAAUAUUGGACAAUGGGCGCAAGCCUGAUCCAGCCAUACCGCGUGGGUGAAGAAGGCCUUCGGGUUGUAAAGCCCUUUUGUUGGGAAAGAAAAGCAGCAGGUUAAUACCCCGCUGUUCUGACGGUACCCAAAGAAUAAGCACCGGCUAACUUCGUG
RNAcentral lists this ribosomal RNA (492 nucleotides) under uncultured bacterium. RNAcentral describes it as "partial 16S ribosomal RNA". It matches the Rfam family "Bacterial small subunit ribosomal RNA", at positions 38 to 507 of the family's 1533-position model. The record is from RNAcentral.